Molecule: RNA transcript, 2819 nt
Organism: Hemicordylus capensis (graceful crag lizard)
Lineage: Eukaryota; Metazoa; Chordata; Lepidosauria; Squamata; Cordylidae
Gene: DTD1
Gene name: D-aminoacyl-tRNA deacylase 1
Exons: 9
Source: RefSeq, a predicted model, not a curated record
UCCGCUUCACCGCCGUGCCGGAAGUUGAUUGCGGCUGCUUGGUUGGCCCUGUUGUUGCCGGUCUUCGGCAGUCCCGGCCCGGCAUCAUGAAGGCCAUCAUCCAGCGCGUCACCCGGGCUAGCGUGACCGCUGAGCCCUCAGCACUGAAAAUAGAUUCCAGAACUGAGUCCAUGGUGAUCCUUGACUCAGAGGAAGCCCUGUCAUUCUUAGGUUGAAAAUCCCGUCCUAGUGAGUGGAGACUGAAGCAUCCAGCUAUGACUGAAGGCUUCCUCUGUGCUCACUGGUUGUAAUGAAGGAGCAAGGCCAGUGCAUUUUUUCUUCUCUUCUCUUCUCUACAGUUUCAGAGGAGCAAAUAAGUUCAAUCGGACGAGGUAUUUGUGUGCUACUGGGUAUCUCUGUGGAAGACACUCAAAAAGAGCUUGAACACAUGGUUCGAAAGAUUUUAAAUCUGCGUAUGUUUGAAGAUGAAAGUGGGAAGCAGUGGUCAAAGAGUGUAAUGGACAAGCAGUAUGAGGUGCUGUGUGUCAGCCAGUUCACCCUUCAGUGUAUUCUGAAAGGAAACAAGCCCGACUAUCACAUGGCCAUGCCUACAGAACAAGCAGAAGCUUUCUAUAACAGCUUCCUGGAACAGCUUCGCAAAACGUACAAGCCAGAGCUAAUCAAAGAUGGCAAAUUUGGUGCAUACAUGCAAGUAAAUAUCCAGAAUGAUGGGCCUGUGACCAUAGAACUGGAAUCUCCUGCAGCCCCCACUGACUCUAAGCAGCUGGCAAAACUUGAGAAACAACAACAGAGGAAAGAGAAAACCAGAAUGAAGGUGCCCUCUGAAUCAAGCAGAGAAAAGAAUGUUCCUAGAAGUAAAAACGAUCCCAGUGCGAGCAGCGGGGCUGAGGGAGAUGUGUCUUCAGAAAGGGAACCUUAGCUUAUCAAAAGUGGGUACAGACCUUCACCAUUCCUCUGUGAAAUAGGGCAAGGCAAGCAGAACUGUGACAAACUAUACCCAAUUUGGGUGUGUGAAUAAGCUCUAUCUUUGUUUCUCUUUCAGCUUUUUAGCACUGAUUAUGGUUUCUUUCAACAUCUGAAUUGGCAAAUUGUGGUUAGCACUUGCCCUUAUACCAGAAUCACACCGGGGUUCUGAUUCUGACUUGAAGAAAAGUGAUAAUUGCAGUUUUCCAACUGGUCAGUGCUAAAGAAGAUGAUGAAAGGAAAGUAAUACAAAAAGGGAGAGCUCACGAGCCUGGUGUUCAUUUCCAGUCAUGGCAUGAGGAUCAUCUGGAUUGAUAUAUAAGAAAAGCGGUAUAAGAAGCUGCUGGUGACCCAUUAGUGGAUGUGCAAUUCUAUAUGAAAGAUUUGAAGCAGAAAGGGAAAUUGUAACAGAGAAGUAAGAAGUUAACAAUCUGCACCAUGCUGUAUUCAAAAACAACCAAAGGAAUGUUAUCUGUGUCCAUUGCUAAUAUGUUUAAAAGUGAGGUGGUAAAUACCAUUUUUCUAUUUCUUUGAAUUAGUUCUUACAAUACUGUUGCAGUGUGGUUGCCAUUUCUUGAUGGUUGGGACUCCGUUUGGUGAGAAGUCACCAUGUCAUCUUCCCAUCCCAAAUGGGUCCUAGCAGAGAUUUACCAAUGUGCCCGCCAUGGCAAGUGUCCCUCCAUUUCCUCCAUCUGGUGAGCAUGAUAAGCCUCAGCCAUCCUCCUGAGCUUGGAGCUGGAGCCCUCUACCUGCUGGCCUAAGGGGUUCAUUCCUGCGGUUGCACUGCUUUGUGGAGGUACUCCCAGUGCCUUAGAAGUGCAUUGCAGCUGGGAGGAUGAUGACCUAGCUCCAAACUAGGAGCAGGCUGGUGCUCAUCUGUAGUGUUCUGCUCUUCAGAGAUGCACCAAGUGAGUCAGAAGCACAGAGUGAUGUGAUCCAACCUGCUCCUGAGUCUGGAGAUGAGGACAGGAGCAGGGGAUUGUUGCUGACCUUGCACUGCAUUCAGUGGCGCUUGAAGCUCAACAUGUCUGGAGCUCAACACGAUGUCUGACAAAUCCCUGCCAUGCUGCCAUUGGGGGAUGGGGAAGGGUCUGGUCCUGGCAAACACAAAUGUCGGUUGACUCUAAAGCUAGCCAGAAUUUGUAGAUCCCCAGAUCCAGACAUUCCAGGGUGGUGAUGGGGCCUAACCAUUGUACAUGAGAACUGUGCCACAACUGUUAUAUAAGUAUGUCUGGUUUCAUACAGGCCACUCUUGUUUUGACUCUGGUGGCAUGGGAGGUGGCAUUCUGUACCACUGGGGUAAGGUGAGGAGAGGCCCAGGCCACCCGAGAGUUAUGUGCGCUGCAGCUCCUUCACACUCCUCCUAGGAAUUGGAGCAGUGCUGGUAUGGAGAGGAGCUGCUGCAUUGAUUCCUGCUAUGUGGCAUGAGCCUUCCUGCAUUGCUCUGGCGACAGGGUGUUGUAUUGGCUCCCAAACCACCAGCAUAAUGUAAGAAGGGAGCCACGGUGAUUGAAGAAUGGUUGUUUUUUUAUGCAGGUUGUAGCAGCAUUAUUGUAACGGAUCAUAUGAUCCAUUUUGAUAAAACUGAAUUUUCCUUACGUUUUCACUUGAACUCUAAAGAGCAAGCUUAUAUUAUGAUUCUGUUGGUGUUAAGUCAUCAGUGUCUCUUUUCACAGCACUGUACAAAAUGUGCACAUUUACUGUGUGUUGUGUCUGUGUGUGUGUGGCUGUAUAAUCUUUGUGGAAAAUAAUGAUUUAAACAAGGCUGAUCUUCCAGUUAUUUAUCUGGAGGGUGUGUGUGUGAAACUUUUUUCAGAAGGGGAAAAACUUUAUUAAUAAAGUAUGCCACCUGAGUA